This 744-nucleotide ribosomal RNA is filed under the name uncultured bacterium. Its description in RNAcentral is "bacterial SSU rRNA". It matches the Rfam family "Bacterial small subunit ribosomal RNA", at positions 28 to 764 of the family's 1533-position model. The record is from RNAcentral.
GAUGAACGCUAGCGGCAGGCUUAAUACAUGCAAGUCGAGGGGCAGCAUAAGGGUAGCAAUACUCUGGUGGCGACCGGCGCACGGGUGCGUAACGCGUAUGCAAUCUACCUUCAACAGGUGAAUAACCCGGAGAAAUUCGGACUAAUACAUCGUAGUGUUAUAGUAUGGCAUCAUAUUAUAACUAAAGAUUUAUCGGUUGAAGAUGAGCAUGCGUUCGAUUAGAUAGUUGGUGAGGUAACGGCUCACCAAGUCUACGAUCGAUAGGGGUUCUGAGAGGAUGAUCCCCCACACUGGUACUGAGACACGGACCAGACUCCUACGGGAGGCAGCAGUAGGGAAUAUUGGACAAUGGUCGAGAGACUGAUCCAGCCAUGCCGCGUGCAGGAAGACGGCCUUAUGGGUUGUAAACUGCUUUUAUACAGGGGUAAUAGUCGGUACGUGUACCGAUUUGAAAGUACUGUAAGAAUAAGGAUCGGCUAACUCCGUGCCAGCAGCCGCGGUAAUACGGAGGAUCCAAGCGUUAUCCGGAUUUAUUGGGUUUAAAGGGUGCGCAGGCGGACUGGUAAGUCAGCGGUGAAAUCUCUCAGCUUAACUGAGGAACUGCCGUUGAUACUGCCAAUCUUGAAUUUAGACGGCGUGGGCGGAAUAUGUCAAGUAGCGGUGAAAUGCUUAGAUAUGACAUAGAACACCGAUAGGGUAGCCAGCUCACGAGGCUAAUAUUGACGCUUAGGCACGAAAGCGUGG